This is a non-coding RNA of Podarcis muralis (Common wall lizard), 368 nucleotides long. Lineage: Eukaryota; Metazoa; Chordata; Lepidosauria; Squamata; Lacertidae. The record is from RefSeq and is a predicted model, not a curated record.
CGAUUCUGUCUAUCAUGAACUAGACAACAGCACCCAAAAGGCUAUCUGCACAAAGCGUCUGGAUUUUCUGAAAAGACAACUUACAAAAGAAGGAGCUGCCUGCACCAUCAUGACAUCGAGCAGCAGAGACUGGCUGCAGGAAAACUUCGGACUCUCCAGCAGCUUUGCAGACUACAAUGAUUUUCUUCACCUGAACCCCUCUUUUAAUGGCUUUGAAGUGCUGGAUUUGCUGACAACAACCCAGAUGGGAACGCUGCUUGUUAUCUCUGGCACCUUAACAGACAGCGCCAGGGUCAGUGCUGAGACGGAGGCAACAAAUGUGAUGGCAACCCUUCAGAGCCGAAGCAUAUCUGAGCUCCAAAGCUUCU